CACGAGUUCGCUUCAGUGUAAAGGUGGCCUCUCAUAAGCUAUCACUUGGAUGAGCUGCGGCCAUUAGCUAGUUGGUGGGGUAAAGGCCCACCAAGGCUUCGAUGGCUAGCUGGUCUGAGAGGAUGAUCAGCCACACUGGGACUGAGACACGGCCCAGACUCCUACGGGAGGCAGCAGUGGGGAAUAUUGCGCAAUGGGGGAAACCCUGANNCAGCGACGCCGCGUGGGUGAUGAAGGCUUUCGGGUCGUAAAGCCCUGUCAAGAGGGAAGAAUUGUUCGGGUGCUAAUCAGCUCGAGCUUGACGGUACCUCUAAAGGAAG
This 320-nucleotide ribosomal RNA is filed under the name uncultured delta proteobacterium. RNAcentral describes it as "bacterial SSU rRNA". It matches the Rfam family "Bacterial small subunit ribosomal RNA", at positions 184 to 490 of the family's 1533-position model. Lineage: Bacteria; Deltaproteobacteria. The record is from RNAcentral.